RNAcentral lists this ribosomal RNA (265 nucleotides) under uncultured archaeon. RNAcentral's name for it is "partial 16S ribosomal RNA". It matches the Rfam family "Archaeal small subunit ribosomal RNA", at positions 717 to 982 of the family's 1478-position model. The record is from RNAcentral.
AGUCACUGACAUUAGAUACCCGUGUAGUCCAGGGUGUAAACGCUGCAGACUUGGUGUUGGAGGCCCGUUUGGGGGCAUUCAGUGCCGGAGAGAAGUUGUUAAGUCUGCUACUUGGGAGUACGUCCGCAAGGAUGAAACUUAAAGGAAUUGGCGGGGGAGCACCGCAACGGGAGGAGCGUGCGGUUUAAUUGGAUUCAACACCGUAAAACUCACCAGGGAAGACUGUUACAUGAAGGCCGAGAUGAAGACUCUGCUAGAUUUUCAG